GGCAAUGUAGCUCAGGAGGUAGAGCACAUCCCUUUUAAGGAUGGGGUCCCGGGUUCGAAUCCCGGCAUUGUCA
This 73-nucleotide transfer RNA is filed under the name Bacteroidota bacterium. Its description in RNAcentral is "tRNA-Lys". It matches the Rfam family "tRNA". From Rfam's summary of the family: Transfer RNA (tRNA) molecules are approximately 80 nucleotides in length. Their secondary structure includes four short double-helical elements and three loops (D, anti-codon, and T loops). Further hydrogen bonds mediate the characteristic L-shaped molecular structure. tRNAs have two regions of fundamental functional importance: the anti-codon, which is responsible for specific mRNA codon recognition, and the 3' end, to which the tRNAs corresponding amino acid is attached (by aminoacyl-tRNA synthetases). tRNAs cope with the degeneracy of the genetic code in two manners: having more than one tRNA (with a specific anti-codon) for a particular amino acid; and 'wobble' base-pairing, i.e. permitting non-standard base-pairing at the 3rd anti-codon position. Lineage: Bacteria; Pseudomonadati; Bacteroidota. The record is from RNAcentral. RNAcentral also lists the same sequence under 2 other names.